UAAGUGGAGAGUUUGAUCCUGGCUCAGAACGAACGCUGGCGGCAUGCUUAACACAUGCAAGUCGAACGAUAUCUGAGAAGCUUGCUUCUUAGUGAAAGUGGCGCACGGGUGAGAAACGCGUGGAUAACGUACCUUAUAGUUCAGGAUAACUUGCGGAAAUGCGGGCUAAUACUGGAUACGUUCUUGAAGAGUUCGCUCUUUGAGAAGAAAGCAGGGCAACUUGCGCUAUUUGAUCGGUCCGCGUCCCAUCAGCUAGUUGGCGGGGUAAUGGCCCACCAAGGCUACGACGGGUAACUGGUCUGAGAGGACGACCAGCCACACUGGGACUGAGACACGGCCCAGACUCCU
Molecule: ribosomal RNA, 348 nt
Filed under: Myxococcaceae bacterium
Lineage: Bacteria; Pseudomonadati; Myxococcota; Myxococcia; Myxococcales; Myxococcaceae
Description: bacterial SSU rRNA
Rfam family: Bacterial small subunit ribosomal RNA
Source: RNAcentral